Molecule: long non-coding RNA, 2066 nt
Organism: Acinonyx jubatus (cheetah)
Lineage: Eukaryota; Metazoa; Chordata; Mammalia; Carnivora; Felidae
Exons: 4
Source: RefSeq, a predicted model, not a curated record
CCUAAAUAAACAUUAAAAAAAUAACAACCACGUAAAUCUACAUGUCAAGCACUAAGCCUAGAUUUUAAUUUCAACCAGGUAAGAAGUACUCAGGGAUAAACAUCUGCAUUAAGCUUAAGUGCAGCUAUUUUUUUUUUUCAUACUCUUAAUGGUUUCUAACUGUUCCAGACUCUUUUUAAUUUACUGAGCUCUUCGACAUUCAGUGGGAUGCUGAGUGCUAAGGAUACAGCAGUGACUCAAGCAGGCAAAAUCUCUUCCUUCGUGGAGAUUAUAUUCUAGUGGGGAGAAAUAAACGUUCACAUCAAUUCACACUGAUCUCUGAAGUCUUCAAGAAAGCUACUGUUUUAAUCAUGCACUUGUAUUUUUAAAAGCCAGAAACAGCAGUUGUAGGUCAUUUAUAGAAUUCUAUAUUUCUUCGAGUGUCGUGUUGCUGUUUGGUCUCCUGGAAGAGGAAACAAAGACUUUGCAGCCAGAGCUCACUUCUGAAACUUCUUCACACUCUGAGACAGUCCCAUGUUGUGUGACAAAGAACUCACCACAGAGAUACCUGAUGGGAGAAUUAGGAGAUAUAAAAAGACAACAAAAAUGCUUGAGCGAUGAAAAAUCCUUGUUCUGCUUUUGCCUUCUUCCAAGGCAAGCAGGCUCUGAGGAACAAAAAUGACUAACUUAUGGAAGAAAAGAAAAAUACUCUUCCCCAAGCAAACAAACAAACAAACAAACAAGAGAAAUAGGAGAGAGAAAAGCUGCCAAUGAACUGCAAGAAAUCAUAGUGGAGCUGGAAAAAGUCCAGGAAAAUUUGAAACUUGCGCAUGGCCAUCCAAAUGCAACAGUGUCCCCAGGGAAGAUAAUAUCCUGGGAUUUUGCUUGUAGAAGCAGAAUGAGAGAGUAUAAACAAGCUUGGAAAUGUAAUCCUUUCUCAUGGCUUUAGGAUAACUAAAAUCAUUUUUAGCAAUGUUAAUCUGGUCACCCUUCGGGUAAAUAUCCUUCUGAUAUUUGCAUUUGUAAUACAAGAAGGCAGAUUAAAAAACUGAAACCAUCGUGUUACUUGACAUCCAUGAGGAAUAUAUUUGAAGGCAUUUAUUUCAUGGAUACACAAAUGCAUACAUGCCAUUUUCUUUUACAGGUCUAUUUUUUUCCCCUCUGAAAGCUCUUUAAAAAAUCACUUCACAAUGUCAUGUUGAGAUAUAAGUUCUACCUGUAAGGUAAAGCACAUUCCCAAGAUAAGUGACUCCAUACGUUUGAAAGCUGAGAUCGGUUCUUCCUGGCUUUUCUGGGAAAUAGUCAGACAUGUAUCUUCCAAUUUAGAGUUCUACCAAAUCAUUGGUUAUAACUAGACAAAACCCCAUCUUGGGUGAUAAUGCUUUAGGCCUGACUUAAAGCAAAACUGCAGAGGGAAAGACUUUAAAAGAAAUAAGACAACAAGACUAUCAUCAUAUUCAUAAGAGUUUCGAGUAGUAUUUUAAAAGCAACAACUCUGAAACCUAAAAUAAUUUUACACACACACAUAAAAUAGUGUGUGUAUUUGUGAUACAUAUGGAUAGAUAGAUAGAUAAUAUAUGUUAUAUUUUGUGUGUUAAGGAACAACUGUGUUAGUUUAUAGAUACUCACUCCUCAACCACCCCCUCUUAUAUAUGCACGUUCUUAGAUAAAUAAUCUGCUGUUUUGGAUUUUUGACAUGGCUGACACCCCCUCCCAUGCUGAGUUAUGGCUGUCAUAACUGACUACGGACAGCAAAAGCCACACUCAGAUGCUGACUCACAGUUACAGUCCUCUACUCGUCUCUCUCGGGCUCCAUGUCUGGGUCCUUAACAUUUGUUUUUACUGGAAGAGACCCAGUCCUGAAGCAAUUCCACACAUGGUUGGCCAAUUUUAGCCAUCAGUCCUGUCACCUCUUUCUUACUGGGUUUUGGCUUCUCACUUGGCUUAGAACACUUAGAAUGUUCUUCGUCUGAGGGUAAGAAACUGCUCCUGCCUCAGGCUGCAUUGUCACAGGUUGAGCUAAUACCUGCCCACGUUCCCCAUCCCACGCACACGCACACCCACCCCCCCCCCCCCACACACACAUA